UAGAAGGGGAUGUGUGCACUGUGGCCUGGUUUUGAUGCCGAUGAGUCUUCACCUUGCAAUCCUGGCUCUUCUGCUUAAAAUAGCAGAGACAAAUCCAUCUCACCAGGAAAAUAACACAAAAUACCGUUUGUGGGUAUUUAAUUUUGCUAUUAUGAACUAGAAAAAAAAAAAAAAAACACCAAACAAAACAACCAAAAGCAGCCAAAGCAGCUGAAUUGAUCUAUCACUACUGGGAUCUGCUGGUUUUUUGUUUGUUAUGUAAACUGCGUGAUGGCCUCGCUUCCUGACGGUGGGAAAAAUCUCCUGAGAAGAAACGUGUCUUUCGCUUCCUCUGGGAAUGCUCAGUACCCUGGAGAUUCUUCUUGCUUGACAUUUCGUUUCUCAAGUGACUACUGGACCUUUGCUCAGAGGAGAUAACAGCCCUUUGUUGAGCUGAUUCACUGCAGUGGCCCAGCCAACACCGUAGGAACUGUUCCAGCGUUCACUAUCCAGAGAGAAUCCAGGUUGUCCACGCUCAGUCAGAGGACACAAGGGACCAUUCCUGCUCAGAGCGGGCGUGCGAGACCCCCACAUGCAACAAUCAGCAGGAAGAAAAGCAAAACCCAUGGAAGGGAAGCAGGAAUCUGCUUUGCCUUUGACAGUCCUUUGAACUGUGCUCUGGCAGCUCCCAGCAAGCCUUCCCCGGGGGGAAAUCAGGCACAUGUGCUUUUGAGAGCAAGAUCCAGGGCUGAUCCUUGCUGCUGCUGCUGCUGUGAAGUUCACAUGGCCACGGCAUUCGACCCAGCUGGAAGAGAGCCCCUGGCUGAUGUGACAGGGCAGCACGUAGCUGUGUGGUCGUGCUGAAUUAGGGGACUUACAUGCAUGUCCCUCACGGCGUGUGCCUGUAAAAACCCAGAGCUCUGGGUGAAACCA
Long non-coding RNA from Empidonax traillii (willow flycatcher), 912 nucleotides. RefSeq lists it as uncharacterized. Lineage: Eukaryota; Metazoa; Chordata; Aves; Passeriformes; Tyrannidae. The record is from RefSeq and is a predicted model, not a curated record. The transcript has 2 exons.